AGUAUUGAGAGAGUUGUUAACCAAGCCAUUGUGUCGUCGCGCACCGCCGACCUCCUUUGCCAAACUGCAAUACGACGGCUCACGAUCCUUCUUUAUGAACACCUUCAACCUAAUCUUUCAAGAGGUUAUUUUUGAGAAUAUUUCGUGAUAAAUCUCUCGACGUGACAGCUAACACCCGUAUCUGAUAUAGAAACAAAACUUGAAAGAUAUUUAUUAAAUACAUAGAUAGUUUGAAAAGUGACAAAAAAUAAGCCCACAAAAUGUUACAAUAAGAUAGACGUGAAAAGUUCAAGUCUUCCAUCUCAUUCUGUCGCAGGCUAAAUUUGACAGCUGCACAUAUUUGGUAUGUCUUUAGUGUCCCCUUUCGAAUGUCAUUUCCGUUUUGUUAAAUUUAAAAUUAUAACAGUGCUAUGGAAAUUUCGCCUUCGAAUAUUAUACUGCUGUUAAGGACAGACGAUGAGGAAGUAGUAAUAUGCACUCGAAGAGUUCUUGGUCGUUAUACGAAAAGCCUUUGCCAAAAUAUAACCUUAUUAAAUUAUUGUUACCCGUCGUCAUAACGCGACGAGAUGUACAGAAAACAGUACCUAUUAGUAUUCAUAGAAUAUUAAUAGAUAAUCCAUUCCCUCACAAUAUCAGAUCUAUCAGUGAACAUACAUAUAAAUCUUGAUAUAAUUUGACCCUAAACUUUUACAAUGCGACACAUCUAACAACGUUCUGGAAAAUUCAGAAGAUUCCCUUGGCUUUGGCUUAUGAUUACUAAUUGAGUGGUUCGAAAGGCAUUUGAAUCGGUCUAGUAUUCCUUAGAUGAUUCUUGAUCGAAUAAUUUAAACUAACAAACAGUCAAAUUUUGGAAGUGUUUCCAACAAAUAUAAUAUCUUCAAUUUACAGACGUGUAUAUCUACGGUUACUAAUGUAAUAAAACAACUACAUAAUUA
Molecule: long non-coding RNA, 935 nt
Organism: Bombyx mori (domestic silkworm)
Lineage: Eukaryota; Metazoa; Arthropoda; Insecta; Lepidoptera; Bombycidae
Exons: 2
Source: RefSeq, a predicted model, not a curated record